ACGAACGCUGGCGGCAUGCCUAACACAUGCCAGUCGAACGAGACCUUCGGGUCUAGUGGCGCACGGGUGCGUAACGCGUGGGAACCUGCCUUUAGGUUCGGAAUAACUCAGAGAAAUUUGAGCUAAUACCGGAUGAUGUCUUCGGACCAAAGAUUUAUCGCCUUUAGAUGGGCCCGCGUUGGAUUAGCUAGUUGGUGGGGUAAAGGCCUACCAAGGCGACGAUCCAUAGCUGGUCUGAGAGGAUGAUCAGCCACACUGGGACUGAGACACGGCCCAGACUCCUACGGGAGGCAGCAGUGGGGAAUAUUGGACAAUGGGCGAAAGCCUGAUCCAGCAAUGCCGCGUGAGUGAUGAAGGCCUUAGGGUUGUAAAGCUCUUUUACCCGAGAUGAUAAUGACAGUAUCGGGAGAAUAAGCUCCGGCUAACUCCGUG
RNAcentral lists this ribosomal RNA (432 nucleotides) under uncultured bacterium. RNAcentral's name for it is "partial 16S ribosomal RNA". It matches the Rfam family "Bacterial small subunit ribosomal RNA", at positions 29 to 507 of the family's 1533-position model. The record is from RNAcentral.